Molecule: ribosomal RNA, 253 nt
Filed under: uncultured bacterium
Lineage: Bacteria
Description: partial 16S ribosomal RNA
Rfam family: Bacterial small subunit ribosomal RNA
Source: RNAcentral
UACGUAGGGUGCAAGCGUUGUCCGGAAUUAUUGGGCGUAAAGAGCUCGUAGGCGGUCUGUUGCGUCGGCUGUGAAAACCCGGGGCUCAACUCCGGGCCUGCAGCCGAUACGGGCAGACUAGAGUUCGGCAGGGGAGACUGGAAUUCCUGGUGUAGCGGUGAAAUGCGCAGAUAUCAGGAAGAACACCCGUGGCGAAGGCGGUUCUCUGGAACGCAACUGACGCUGAGACGCGAAAGCGUGGGGAGCAAACAGG